Molecule: ribosomal RNA, 493 nt
Filed under: Ischnocnema nasuta
Lineage: Eukaryota; Metazoa; Chordata; Amphibia; Anura; Brachycephalidae
Description: partial 12S ribosomal RNA
Source: RNAcentral
GGGCCUAAAAACCCCCUCAGACACAAAAGUCUGGUCCUGGCUUUAAAAUCAAUUCUUUCUUAAUUUACACAUGCAAGUCUCCUCAGCCCUGUGAGUACACUUAUUCCUCCGACCAGGAGCGAAAAGUUGGUAUAAGGCACAUAAUCCGCCCAAGACACCUAGCGAUAGCCACACCUACAAGGGAUACAGCAGUGAUUAACAUUAGACAUGAGUGUCAACUUGAUCUAGUCAAAGAAAUACAAGGCCGGCAAAGUUAGUGCCAGCCGCCGCGGUUACACUAUAGGCCUAAAUUGAUUUUUAUCGGCGUAAAGCGUGGUUAAAGACACUAAUAAACUAGAGCCAAAUUCUUAUUGCGCAGUGAAAUGCCUUUCUUCGAGAAGCCCAAAAACGAAAGUUACUCUAUUCCAACAACUUGACCCCACGAUUGCCAAGACACAAACUAGGAUCAGGUACCCUACUAUGCUUGGCCCUAAACCUUAAAUUACCCCCACAU